GUGACAGCCCCGUACACAAAAAUGCACAUAUUGUGAGCUCGAUGAGUAGGGCGGGACACGUGGUAUCCUGUCUGAAUAUGGGGGGACCAUCCUCCAAGGCUAAAUACUCCUGACUGACCGAUAGUGAACCAGUACCGUGAGGGAAAGGCGAAAAGAACCCCGGCGAGGGGAGUGAAAAAGAACCUGAAACCGUGUACGUACAAGCAGUGGGAGCACGCUUAGGCGUGUGACUGCGUACCUUUUGUAUAAUGGGUCAGCGACUUAUAUUCUGUAGCAAGGUUAACCGAAUAGGGGAGCCGAAGGGAAACCGAGUCUUAACUGGGCGUUAAGUUGCAGGGUAUAGACCCGAAACCCGGUGAUCUAGCCAUGGGCAGGUUGAAGGUUGGGUAACACUAACUGGAGGACCGAACCGACUAAUGUUGAAAAAUUAGCGGAUGACUUGUGGCUGGGGGUGAAAGGCCAAUCAAACCGGGAGAUAGCUGGUUCUCCCCGAAAGCUAUUUAGGUAGCGCCUCGUGAAUUCAUCUCCGGGGGUAGAGCACUGUUUCGGCAAGGGGGUCAUCCCGACUUACCAACCCGAUGCAAACUGCGAAUACCGGAGAAUGUUAUCACGGGAGACACACGGCGGGUGCUAACGUCCGUCGUGAAGAGGGAAACAACCCAGACCGCCAGCUAAGGUCCCAAAGUCAUGGUUAAGUGGGAAACGAUGUGGGAAGGCCCAGACAGCCAGGAUGUUGGCUUAGAAGCAGCCAUCAUUUAAAGAAAGCGUAAUAGCUCACUGGUCGAGUCGGCCUGCGCGGAAGAUGUAACGGGGCUAAACCAUGCAC
This 826-nucleotide ribosomal RNA is filed under the name Escherichia coli. RNAcentral's name for it is "partial 23S ribosomal RNA". It matches the Rfam family "Bacterial large subunit ribosomal RNA", at positions 364 to 1194 of the family's 2925-position model. The record is from RNAcentral. Lineage: Bacteria; Pseudomonadati; Pseudomonadota; Gammaproteobacteria; Enterobacterales; Enterobacteriaceae.